RNAcentral lists this long non-coding RNA (226 nucleotides) under Homo sapiens (human). RNAcentral's name for it is "HSALNT0038666". Lineage: Eukaryota; Metazoa; Chordata; Mammalia; Primates; Hominidae. The record is from RNAcentral.
CCCCAGGUCAUGUUUGUGGAGCCCAGCGACGUGAAACUCCCCCUUCCCCAGGCUGUUCCUCAGUUUCCAGCCCUGCCACUACUUGCAACAGCCAGUCAUCCGCCCAGGGUUUGCCAGGUUCCUCGGGGGCCAAGCAUCCGUGUGUACCAAGCACCUUCUGUGUGCCAUGGAGCACCUGCUACGUUCUUCCCAAGCCCCGCCAAAAGGUGUGGAGAUGUGGAGAAAA